UCAGACGUGAGUACCUGCUGAACUUAAGCAUAUCAGUAAGCAGAGGAAAAGAAACUAACAAGGAUUCCCUUAGUAACGGCGAGUGAAA
This 88-nucleotide ribosomal RNA is filed under the name Pratylenchus penetrans. RNAcentral describes it as "partial 28S ribosomal RNA". It matches the Rfam family "Eukaryotic large subunit ribosomal RNA", at positions 11 to 98 of the family's 3401-position model. The record is from RNAcentral. Lineage: Eukaryota; Metazoa; Nematoda; Chromadorea; Rhabditida; Pratylenchidae.